Molecule: long non-coding RNA, 874 nt
Filed under: Phasianus colchicus (ring-necked pheasant)
Lineage: Eukaryota; Metazoa; Chordata; Aves; Galliformes; Phasianidae
Description: lncRNA (ENSPCLG00000013260.1)
Source: RNAcentral
AAUGGACAAACGUUAUAUACGAAUGGAUGUUAACUAUCAAAGGGCAAAAGUUAUUUCAUGAAUGGAUGGAGGUGAUGUACGAAUGGACAGGCAUUAUUUUAUGAAUGGAGGACGUUGUUGUACGAAUGAACAAAUGUUAAAUAUGAAUGGACAAACAUCAUAUAUGAAUGGACAUAUUUUAUGAAUGGACGGAUGUUAUAUGUGAGUGGACAGGCAUUAUUUUGUGAAUGGACAGACAUAUGAAUGGACAGACAUCACAUAUGAACGGACAUGGUGUUUUAUGAAUGGACAGACGUUGUUUUAUGAAUGGACGGAUGUUAUAUGUGAAUGGCAGACAUCAUAUAUGAAUGAAUAAAUCAUAUACGAAUGGACAGAUAUAUGAAUGAAUGGAUGGAUCUUACAUAUGAAUGGACAGAUCAUAUAUGAAUGGACGUUAUUUGGGAAUGCUGGAUGUUAUAUAUGAAUGGACACACUAUUUUAUGAAUGGACAGGCAUUACUUUAUGAAUGGAUGGACAUCGUAUAUGAAUGGACAGACAUUAUUUUGUGAAUGGACAGACAUCAUUUUAUGAUGGCUGGAUGUUAUAUAUGAAUGGACAGACACCAUAUAUGAAUGGACAGACAUCAUAUAUGAAUGGACAGACGUUAUUUUGUGAAUGGAUGGACGUUAUAUAUGAAUGGAUGGACAUCAUUUUAUGAUGGCUGGAUGUUAUACAUGAAUGGACAGACGUUAUUUUGUGAAUGGACAGACAUGUAUGAAUGGACAGACGUUAUUUUGUGAAUGGAUGGACGUUAUACAUGAAUGGACAGACAUCAUUUUGUGAAUGGAUGGACGUUAUACAUGAAUGGACAGACGUUAUUUUGUGAAUGGACGGC